This 262-nucleotide ribosomal RNA is filed under the name uncultured bacterium. Its description in RNAcentral is "partial 16S ribosomal RNA". It matches the Rfam family "Bacterial small subunit ribosomal RNA", at positions 513 to 773 of the family's 1533-position model. The record is from RNAcentral.
AGCCGCGGUAAUACGAAGGGUGCAAGCGUUACUCGGAAUUACUGGGCGUAAAGCGUGCGUAGGUGGUUUGUUAAGUCUGAUGUGAAAGCCCUGGGCUCAACCGGGCGAGGACGUGGGCGAACUGCAGGGCUAGAGGCAGGUAGAGGCGUGUGGAAUUCCGGGUGUAGUGGUGAAAUGCGUAGAGAUCCGGAGGAACACCAGUGGCGAAGGCGACACGCUGGGCCUGGCCUGACGCUGAGAGGCGAAAGCAUGGGGAGCGAAC